Molecule: long non-coding RNA, 1047 nt
Filed under: Physcomitrium patens
Lineage: Eukaryota; Viridiplantae; Streptophyta; Bryopsida; Funariales; Funariaceae
Description: long non-coding RNA (PPAT_LNC001491)
Source: RNAcentral
UGUGUAUAUUGCACCCCCUUAUCUCCAUUAACAAGCUGACCACUACCUCUGAGCAACCUGCAAGUACAAAAUUUAAUGGGUGAGAGAGAUGGCUACACGGCUCAAUUGACGGUUGGAUUUUAAUCACAAGUCUCAGCAUAAUAGACAAGUAAAAUACUUCUCUUCAGCUUUAAAAUCAAAAUAACUUAUUAAGUGAAAAGAAUAAAAUAGAAAUGAAGAGAUAAGUGUUCAUAUACCAUCUGGUAGUUAGAAGACCUUCGACUCCUACAGGCCCACGUGCAUGAAUCCUGCCUGUGCUUAUUCCCACCUGCAUUUAAUAAAACGAUCAUUUUAGAUGCCUUAAGAAAGGAAGUUCUGAUUGCUACAAAACGAGUCAAAAAAAUGGUUCUAUCCUGCUGAAAAUUCUAUCUAACCCAGAAUCUUUAUCAUAAUCUAAACAAAACUAUGUAUGCAGUACUUAUAUGCGUGUCAAACAUGCUGGAGCAUGACCAUUGAAGACACCAAAAUAAGAAAAAAAAAUUACACAGCCAUGCCAUGAGGAGGUAUAAAAAGUCGAAAGUUACAUGUUCCACCAUCAAUGCACGUAGGAAAGAAGUAUACGCACCUCAGCACCAAGCCCAAAACGAGCACCAUCAGAAAAGCGGGUACUGGCAUUAUGAAAUACAGCGGCACUGCAAAUGAAGCAAGCAGUAUUAUUUAAUGUUACAACAAUGACAGCCUGAAUACAAUACGAACAGUAUUACAAGCAAAAGAGAGAGCGCAAUGAAGGUAUUCGGUCCAUGUUCCAGAGAAGGAUACUCGCAAAGAAGACAUUGAAGAGAAUUAGGUGUUCUGUCAACAAAGUGCGCAUACUUCACUGGAUACACGUAUUUACGUACACCUAAAUAGAAACUACAUACUCAACUACAGCGAGGAACGCGAUGAAAACAUUGAAGGAAGCCGGCCUCUUGUGAAAGAAAGGAUUUACGAAAAGAUAUAAAUUUGCAAAACUUGAACCAGUAAAGUUAAUCCGACCAAUGCAAAAACCAAUAAGGACAGUGAUGCUUG